RNAcentral lists this transfer RNA (64 nucleotides) under Nipponacmea fuscoviridis. RNAcentral describes it as "tRNA-Met". Lineage: Eukaryota; Metazoa; Mollusca; Gastropoda; Lottiidae. The record is from RNAcentral.
GCCAAAAUAGGUUAAAAAAACUAGGAGACUCAUAACCUCCUGUUGCCCUAAUAGGCUUUUGGUG